CAGUCGCCACGGUAACACGUAGGUGGCAAGCGUUGUCCGGAAUUAUUGGGCGUAAAGGGCUCGCAGGCGGUUUCUUGAGUCUGAUGUGAAAGCCCCCGGCUCAACCGGGGAGGGUCAUUGGAAACUGGGAAACUUGAGUGCAGAAGAGGAGAGUGGAAUUCCACGUGCAGCGGUGAAAUGCGUAGAGAUGUGGAGGAACACCAGUGGCGAAGGCGACUCUCUGGUCUGUAACUGACGCUGAGGAGCGAAAGCGUGGGGAGCGAACAGGAUUAGAUACCCGUGUAGUCCUGUCUCUUAUACA
This 301-nucleotide ribosomal RNA is filed under the name uncultured bacterium. RNAcentral's name for it is "partial 16S ribosomal RNA". It matches the Rfam family "Bacterial small subunit ribosomal RNA", at positions 509 to 809 of the family's 1533-position model. The record is from RNAcentral.